This 72-nucleotide transfer RNA is filed under the name Urocitellus parryii (Arctic ground squirrel). RNAcentral's name for it is "Spermophilus parryii (Arctic ground squirrel) tRNA". It matches the Rfam family "tRNA". From Rfam's summary of the family: Transfer RNA (tRNA) molecules are approximately 80 nucleotides in length. Their secondary structure includes four short double-helical elements and three loops (D, anti-codon, and T loops). The record is from Rfam by way of RNAcentral. RNAcentral also lists the same sequence under 1 other name. Lineage: Eukaryota; Metazoa; Chordata; Mammalia; Rodentia; Sciuridae.
GGGGUUGUAGCUCAGUGGUAGAGCGUUUGCCUUGCAUGCGUGAGGCCCUGGGUUUGAUCCUCACCAACACAU